Molecule: ribosomal RNA, 135 nt
Filed under: Leptogium rivulare
Lineage: Eukaryota; Fungi; Ascomycota; Lecanoromycetes; Peltigerales; Collemataceae
Description: 5.8S ribosomal RNA
Rfam family: 5.8S ribosomal RNA
About the family: 5.8S ribosomal RNA (5.8S rRNA) is a component of the large subunit of the eukaryotic ribosome. It is transcribed by RNA polymerase I as part of the 45S precursor that also contains 18S and 28S rRNA.
Source: RNAcentral
CUUUCAACAACGGAUCUCUUGGUUCCGGCAUCGAUGAAGACCGCAGCGAAAUGCGAUAAGUAAUGUGAAUUGCAGAAUCCAGUGAAUCAUCGAAUCGUUGAACGCACAUUGCGCCCCCCGGCAUUCCGGGGGGCA